RNAcentral lists this ribosomal RNA (433 nucleotides) under uncultured bacterium. RNAcentral's name for it is "partial 16S ribosomal RNA". It matches the Rfam family "Bacterial small subunit ribosomal RNA", at positions 29 to 507 of the family's 1533-position model. The record is from RNAcentral.
AGCGAACGCUGGCGGCAGGCCUAACACAUGCAAGUCGAACGAAAUCUCCGGAGUUAGUGGCGGACGGGUGAGUCACACGUGGGAACGUGCCUUUUGGCUCGGAAUAACACAGGGAAACUUGUGCUAAUACAGAAUGUGUCCUUCGGGGACAAGAUUUAUCGCCAUUGGUGCGGCCCGGGUCCGAUUAGCUUGUUGGGGAGGUAACGGCCGACCAAGGCGACGAUCAGUAGCUGGUCUGAGAGGAUGACCAGCCACACUGGGACUGAGACACGGCCCAGACUCCUACAGGAGGCAGCAGUGGGGAAUCUUGCGCAAUGGGCGAAAGCCUGACGCAGCCAUGCCGCGUGAAUGAUGAAGGUCUUAGGAUUGUAAAAUUCUUUCACCGGGGACGAUAAUGACGGUACCCGGAGAAGAAGCCCCGGCUAACUUCGUG